Equus caballus (horse) is the source of this 2442-nucleotide long non-coding RNA. The record is from Ensembl. Lineage: Eukaryota; Metazoa; Chordata; Mammalia; Perissodactyla; Equidae.
AUUCUAUAAUACUCAAUUACACUAUUUCCCUAUUUUCAGAGAAAUUCUUUUUUGGUUUGCUUGGUAAGACAGAGGAGGCCUCUGUGCGCCUGAAAUUAUGGAAACACACUGAAAGUGUCUGUCUCGUCUGUAGCCGGAAAUGGAGAGAGAGGGGGAGGGAGGGCCAGCCGGACCUGCUGUGGCUGAGCAGGACUCAGGCCGAAGUCCACCCCGUAGUUCUAGUUUGAAGCUUUCUGUUGCCUUCUUUCCCUGACCUGAAUGGGAAGCACGUCCGUGUGCUUUCUGCUGGCCCUUGGGGAGCCGGGAUGCGCACCGGAGUGAGCGCACGGCAGGAAAGCUUUCUUGGUGCUUUUCCUUUGGUUUUUGAAGGUUGGGGAGUUACAAUGAGCCCUUCUGGUCAGAGAGCCACAGACACCGUUUCCAUUACGAGGUUUGCAAUGGUAAAUACAUUGUCCUUUUCAGACCUACCAAGCUGGCAGGCCAAAAGCCUACAGUACAGCACAGUAGAUAACAUUUAAGGUGAAUUUCUUCGGUCCAAAUGGGUUAGUCUCUCAUGUUAUCUUGCUUUGCUAUAAAUGUUAAAAGUAGAAAUGUGUGUUCGCGUCCUGAAAAGAGCCUGUAGAGCGCUCUUCUUUACUAAGGAUGUCAACGCGUGCGUCCCAUGAAUCUGGGGCUUUGUAAUCUGGGCACGAUUCUCUUAUGGCAGCGUGGACCGAAAUAACACUUUUAAAGUUAAAGCUGACUUAAACACAGAAGGCCAUAUUUUAACUAGAAUGAGAAAUUAUUUAAUGUGCACAUGGAACCUCGUGUGUCCUCGCUCGUGGAAUUUCUGGCAUACGGGCCUUGCUGAGUUUCAGGAGUAAAAGACACUGGUAGCAGUUUGUUUUAAAGCAACAAAUAGUAAAUUGCUCUUUGACUCAAGUCAUCUGUAAAUCCAAUUAAAACAAGAUCUUAUUGUCAGGAAACAGCAUCUUCUAAGCUUGGCAUCUACCUUUAAGGAGGGGAAGUGGGAGCGAGGGUGAGACGGGAAAGGAACAGAGUGGGCAGGGUAGGUAGGAUUAAACAGCACCUGGGUUUUGCACCAAAGUUCCAAAAAGGAAUAAAUAAAAAGGAAGACCAGCCGCCAGACGACGUAGGAAAGACUUGCCAGGAAGCGGCAGCUUCUGCUGCCCAAUCCAGUGCCUUCAAAAUGACUCUGUGUGAACCGCAUGCAAUUUCAUGUAACCACGAAGUGUAACCUGUACGUGCAUGACGUGUGUCUAGACUGUGUACAGUUGAGAGGCAGCAGAAAGGGGCCUUGCUCCGUCACUUUGAUGGGUCAGCGAGCCCGCUGACGUCACCGGACUCUGUGACAGGUUUGUGGCGUCCGACCCCUGCCUUGGCAUUAAGCAACCGUAUCAUUGAAAUCUGGUCCAUUUCUCUUUCGAUUUCUUUCCUACUUGGCAGCUUUGCUGGUUUUAACUGCUUCCCCCUUCUGCUUCUUGGUAUCCUUCCUUCUUUUAAAAUAAAAAGAUGAAACACUUAAUUCAAAGGAGACGUGUAUUUAUUUUACCAGUCGCUCUUAGUGUACCAAAGGUGGCUGACUUUGUGAAAAAGAGUUCUGGGUUGCGCUUCCAGUGUGAAUCUGAUCCUAAAAUAUGCUCUGUCAGAAAGCUUGGGGAGCUUUCUACAGGCAUCCUUCUGCGUUGGCAGCCAUUCGCAGAGGGUGUCAAGGAAUCUGCUGUCGUGCCCCUGAGUGCUGCUCCUCACCUCUGCAGGUGUCCACGGAAACCUGGUCCGUCUGCGCUGGAGACACCCAGACUGGGGAGUGGCCUGUCGGACAAACGCACGGCUGCGUGCAGGAAGUACUUAGCACGUAUUGAGCACCUGCUGUGUGCUGGGCGCUGUGCUGGGAACACGAAGAGAUAAAACGGUCUUUGUGACUGGCGAGCAUGCUCCCUCACUGCGGGUCGUCCUGAGGUCACAGAGAACUCUGCAAACCGGAAGGUCGGUCUCCACGUUGCUUUAUUCAGGCGCCCAGGGCCCUCCUCUUACUCUGCCUGGUCUGAAUUUCUUUCCUUCAGCCACAGGACCUGACAAUCUUAUUCUUGGCUCCCAGUGAGUUUUUUGUGGCCGGGGCCCAAAUUUCCCCAGCAAGGCUGCUAUAAAGCAAGCGUGCUCCCCACGUGGAGGCCAGUCCCUGGAGCUAGGUCCCCAGCCUGGGUGGCACCAAGCGCCUGUCCUGAGCCAAGCCUGUCGCUCAGCCCAGAGUUAAGGGAUCUGAGACGCUCAGGGAGGCCUGAGGCUUCAUCACACACCCGUCCUGGUAGAGACCCCACCGGGGUGAAUGGAGGGAUGGAAGGUGCCAGGACAGAGGGCGCUGAGACCCGCUGCCCUGCCCGAGGUAGCCAGGGCCGCCAUAGCUCAGGGCCACAGCCUGGGUGGCUGCCCAGCAGAAACGUG